Long non-coding RNA from Camelina sativa (false flax), 1060 nucleotides. RefSeq lists it as uncharacterized. The record is from RefSeq and is a predicted model, not a curated record. Lineage: Eukaryota; Viridiplantae; Streptophyta; Magnoliopsida; Brassicales; Brassicaceae.
AAACACAAAAGAACAUCACGACAAUAGCUCUCGCAUCGUCCUCUUUUUCUUCCGAUCGAUUCGAUCUCGCCUCGUCAUCCUCUAAACCGAUCCCGCCUCAUCGCCUUUAGAAGACGAAACCCUCGAAGAAAUCGAAGAGACACGCGGCCGAAGAGGAGGAGGAGGAGCAGUCUCCUAAGAAAGCGAAGGAGAGCAAGAAGAAGAAACACAAGAGAUCGAUAUCAUCAGAUGAAUCCGAAGAAGAGGAGGAGCAAUCAUCUCCUAAGAAAUAGAAGGAGAGCAAGAAGAAGAAACACAAGAGAUUGAUAUCAUUUGAUGAAUCCGAAGAAGAAGAAGAAGAAGAGCCAGAGACUACUCAUCAAAUCGUCGAUACGAAGCCCGUUGUUACAACAAAGAAGGAGUCGGAUUCGGAUUUUUAGAAGGUUUUUAGCUCCCCUCUGCUUCCAGAUCUGCUUCUGCAGUCUCUCUCUCAGGUUCGCAGGGAUGUCAAAGGAAGAAGCUUCUUCCAUCUUGAUUCAGACUACCUUUAGGGGUUAUUUGGCAAGAAGUGGAACGACAACAAUCAGUCCAAGGCACAAGUGGAAGCGGGUAUGCUGCACAAGCACGAGGCAACAAUGAGAAGGGAAAGAGCAUUAGCUUAUGCAUUCACACAUCAGGUUUACGUUCCAAUCAUACCCGUGAACCUUGUGAUCUCACGUUGGCACAAGAGAACAACAAGUUUCUGGUCUUGGUUCUGAUCUUCCCGUGACUUUCUCCUUGUGAUCUCAAGUCGGCACAAGAGAACAACAAGUCUCUGGUCUUGGUUUUUUGUGUUUUUCUUUCACCACAACAAGAGAACAACGCACGUGAACAACAAGAGAACAACGCCCGUGAACAACAAGAGAACAAAGCCCGUGAAUUUUUUUGUGUUUUUCUUUCCCCACUUGAUGUUCAGUAAACUUGUAUAUAUAGCAAACGAGAAUCAUAUUCAGUCUCUUGUAAUUCUCUUAUCUGGCAAAAAUUUGGCACAACUCGAUAUUAGACCGAUGCUAAUUAUGUUAUUCAUAAUGCUUUUAUAUGU